GACGAACGCUGGCGGCGUGCUUAACACAUGCAAGUCGAACGGGAAGGCCUGCUUUCCCUUGUGGAUUGCGGGUACUCGAGUGGCGAACGGGUGAGUAACACGUGAGUGAUCUGCCCCCAACUUGGGUAUAAGCCUGGGAAACUGGGUCUAAUUCCCGAUAGGACUGCAGGGUGGUGCCUGUGGUGGAAAACGAUUUUCUAGUGGUUGGGGAUGAGCUCGCGGCCUAUCAGCUUGUUGGUGGGGCAAUGGCCUACCAAGGCGGCGACGGGUAGCCGGCCUGGGAGGGUGGACGGCCACAUUGGGACUGAGAUACGGCCCAGACUCCUACGGGAGGCAGCAGUGGGGAAUAUUGCACAAUGGGCGGAAGCCUGAUGCAGCGACGCCGCGUGGGGGAUGACGGCCUUCGGGUUGUAAACUCCUUUCGACCGCGAGGAAGCCACCUGGUUGGAAGGGUGGUGACGGUAGUGGUAGAAGAAGCACCGGCUAACUACGU
This 493-nucleotide ribosomal RNA is filed under the name uncultured bacterium. RNAcentral describes it as "partial 16S ribosomal RNA". It matches the Rfam family "Bacterial small subunit ribosomal RNA", at positions 28 to 506 of the family's 1533-position model. The record is from RNAcentral.